GGGCAAUGUCAUUAAUUUGGAGGACUACCUAUACCUGUUGUCCUGUCUCAGUUCUUAACUUGCCAAGUAGAAAUGUUCAAGCAAACCAAGACCAUCCAAUCCAUUAUCCGUAGUAAGCAGCCAUUUUUCAUUGCAUAGAUAUUUGUUGUUUUGGAGCUCGACAACUAGUCUCCAGAGCUUUAUUCUUCUAAUUUUCUCUCUUCUGUUUAAGAAUUCUCAAGUUUCUUGAAAGAUCUUAGAAAUGAAUCCUCAAAACCAUGAUCAAGCUUCUUAUGUUGCUCCAUCUCCUGUAAAUUUCUCUAUGAAAGAUGGGGUUGAAGAGCCACAAAAUCCAUCCUCCCAUCCUCCACCAAGUAUGAAGCCUGGUAAGAGCAGUAGCGGCUGUUGGAGAGGCUGUUUUGUGGGAUGCUUAGAUGGUUGCUUUUUGUCAGCGGCACACAUCAACUGUGCGGCUUGUUUCUAAGCCCAGCAGGAAGAAAAAAUCGCAUGCAGUUUUAAGGAUUGUUUUUUGGGCUUCUGCAAGUCAUUCUGUUCAGGAUUGUUGAAUGAGUAUAGGAUUUACAUUUUUGCUAAUUUGACAUGUAUGUGGCUUAAUAAAUAUAAAGUAAUGCAAGUCUUUUGUUAUAAUUCUCUCUUAUAAUUUUCAAUUUAGGUAUUAUUGUUUUCCUUCUUUGUUCAACUCUGUCUAUAUACUAAAAUAGCAACCCUUGUAUAUAUAUAUAUAUUUAUAGAGAGAAAUAGUCACGAAUCUGAAUAAGAGUAGACUUGUACUAAAUAAAAAAAAAUAUAAAAAUAUUAAUGAUAAUUCUUUUUUUUUUAAAACAAAGCAUAUGCAAUAGAUAAGCAUGUAGACCGACCAAUUUAUAAAAAUAUAAAAUUUCAUUUUAUUUCAUUUUUAUAAUUUUAAAAAAAAUGAUGUAAUUACUUGUUCUAAUAUGUUACACUAUGAGCUUUUUUUUUAUAUUUUUUUUAUUUUUAAGAUACACUAUAAGCUAAUUAGAUAAGCUCUUAUUUAUAUUAUUAUCAUAUUAUUAUAACAUUUUGAAUUUUAAAGUAUGAAACAAAGAAAUUCUAGCAUUUGAAUUCCUUACGUUAUGAAUCAUCUAGAACCAAAUUUGAAGGGAGCUUCUGUGUAGUUUCGAAGAUCACAGCGUUGAAUCUAAUGAAACAAAGACCAUUUCUUCCAACCUUCCUCUCUUAUGUUAUGCAUGAGAAGUGAAAACAGCCGCCAUUUCUGAACAUUGUUUUCAGACCUUAUCUUCCAGUUUUAACCACUCCAUUCUCUCUGUAUAUAAUACAUUCUUGCCAUAUAAUUUUGCUUAAUUAACUUCGAAAUGGAUAACCGUAACUAUCAUCAACAAGCUCCAGUAGCUGUAUAUCCUCCGCCUCCAGCUCCAUAUCCACCUCCACCAAGUGAAGUUUAUCCUCCUCCUCCUCCACCACAAGCAGCGGUUCGAGGUCCUUAUGUUGCUCCGCCUCCAGUUGGUUACCCUAUGAAAAAUGGUCCUCAAUAUCCCCAACAGCCUCCAUUUCCCCCAUCAAAAACUACGCAUAGAGGUGGAUUUUGCAGAGGAUGUUGUGCUGGUUUAUGUUGCUGCUGCCUUCUGGAUGCUUGCUUUUAGCUGAGGACUGAACGGAUUCUUCUUUGUAAUAUUUAUAUAGCCCAUUGUUGUGGGAAAUUCUCAUUUUUCUUAUUAUGUAAAAUUUAUUUGAUUCAUUUGUUCUGUACACAGAAAAUAUUUUAUGGCAUGUACUUCCAAAAUAUUUG
Long non-coding RNA from Jatropha curcas, 1768 nucleotides. RefSeq lists it as uncharacterized. Lineage: Eukaryota; Viridiplantae; Streptophyta; Magnoliopsida; Malpighiales; Euphorbiaceae. The record is from RefSeq and is a predicted model, not a curated record.